This 716-nucleotide long non-coding RNA is filed under the name Vigna radiata. RNAcentral's name for it is "long non-coding RNA (VRAD_LNC006262)". Lineage: Eukaryota; Viridiplantae; Streptophyta; Magnoliopsida; Fabales; Fabaceae. The record is from RNAcentral.
GAAGAACAGCGGAUGACGUACAAUAGAGGCAAACCCUAGAUUGAAUGGUUUGAUCGGUGAACAUUCUAGGGUUGGGGAUUCAGGAUGUUUUGAUCGGUGGAGAGAAAGAAUUUAAUGAUUGAAUCCAUAGAAUGUAACGAAAAGAGGUUUUAAUCGGGCAAAAGUGAAGAUUUAAUCAGUGAAAAAUGGAUUCUAUGGUGGAUUAGGCUGAGGUAAGGGAGAAAUGUACAGGAGAAUGAAGAUCUCGAUAUUAACCGUGGUUGGCAGAUUAAGAUCUGAGGCGGAGGUUCGAGAGAAAAAUGAAUGUGUGCGGUGGAUCUCUCCAGAAAAUGGCUAAGUAAGAUGUGGUUCACAUAUGAGGAAGCAUCGCAAGCAUUAGUGAAGGGCAAAAGGUCCUCAGAAAUAUCUAAAGAAUGGCUAAACGAAAAUGUGGUACACAUAUGAAGAGGCACCGCAGGCAUUACCGAAGGGUAAAAGGCCCUCGGAAAUAAUCCUUCGGUAAUAAGCACUUUUAUUGUAGUAACACAAUCACAAUCAUCAUUAUUUCUUUCUCUUUACUUACCCUUUUUGUCUUUGUUCUCUUUCUUUCACAAAAAACAGUUCUUCUUUAUAUGUUGUGUUUUGUACUGACACUCCACGUUCUUGUACCGAGACCUAGACUUGCUCCUACUUUUAUCUCUACCACUGUUUUGUUCUUUCUUUUGGCUUCUCCCCCU